AAGACGUCGAGAUUUAGCUGCAUGCUAAAGUGCGCUAUUGCCACCUUCAAAGACGUUUCCACCUCUGACAUGGAAUACUCCUUAAAUGUUUGCGCAGGAAGUGGGCCAAUCCAAAGAAUUGGGUGGCCACGCGGGACCUUUGAACCACCGUGACCUUCUGACCUCAUGAAGCCGUCCCCAGGGAGUCGCACCAGGGGCUGUCCCUGUAGUCCCGAGCAGUGAGAAAGCAGUGACAAUCCAACCUAAUCCCUGGGUCUCAUAACAACGUUGCAGAGACUUUGAAGCCACACGAGGAUUACAUGGACACCACAACAGUGAGCGCACUUCACCCACUGGAGUUUCCAAUGUGCCCAUAUCCACUGUCUCUAUUCCUCCCACUCAGCCAAA
Molecule: long non-coding RNA, 387 nt
Organism: Megalops cyprinoides (Indo-Pacific tarpon)
Lineage: Eukaryota; Metazoa; Chordata; Actinopteri; Elopiformes; Megalopidae
Exons: 3
Source: RefSeq, a predicted model, not a curated record